RNAcentral lists this ribosomal RNA (106 nucleotides) under Erinaceus europaeus (western European hedgehog). The record is from RNAcentral. Lineage: Eukaryota; Metazoa; Chordata; Mammalia; Eulipotyphla; Erinaceidae.
GUCCACAGCCAUACCACCUUGAACACGCCCGAUCUCGGAAGCUAAGCAGGGUGUGGCCUGGUUAGUACUUGGAUGGGAGAAAAUGUGAAGCUAAUAAUUGAAAACC